UUGUAAAAAUUUAAACUUUAUUUUGUUUUAAUUAUAAUUGUUUAUAGAGAUUUGAAUAAUUAUAGGUUAAAUUUUAAUUAUUUAAAGUGUUUAGUUAUAAUUUAAAAUUUUGAGAAUCGAAUUAGAUUAGUACCUAAUUAGUCAAAAGUUAAAAGAGCAGGAGUAAAGUAAAAUUUAAACUGAAAGAAUAUUGGCAGAUUUUCUAAAUUAUCUUUGGAGGUUGAGUGAUAAUUGAGAGCCCUCAUUAACUACUCUUAUAGUGGUCUCAUGUAUGAUCGUUUAUUCUAUGCUUAAGGCAUAUAAAUAAAAAUUUUUAUUUAUAAAAAUAGAUAUAUAUUUGGUUUAUAUAGGAGGUGAUAUUUGACCUACAAUAAUUUGUAGUUGUGAAUCUACUUAUUAGUAAAGUAGUGAAAAUGUAAAAGACAGUAAAAAAGUUUUUAUGAUUUUUUGAAGAUUAUUUAGAUGUGGUACAAAUCAUCCAUCAAUUGCCUAAA
RNAcentral lists this ribosomal RNA (494 nucleotides) under Uncinaria sp. SAN-2011. Its description in RNAcentral is "partial 12S ribosomal RNA". Lineage: Eukaryota; Metazoa; Nematoda; Chromadorea; Rhabditida; Ancylostomatidae. The record is from RNAcentral.